GAUGAACGCUAGCUAUAGGCUUAACACAUGCAAGUCGAGGGGAAACGGCAUUAUGUGCUUGCACAUUUUGGACGUCGACCGGCGCACGGGUGAGUAUCGCGUAUCCAACCUGCCCUUUACUUGGGGAUACCCCGUUGAAAGACGGCCUAAUACCCGAUGUAAUUCAUUGAUGGCAUCAGAUAUGAAUAAAAGAUUUAUCGGUAAAGGAUGGGGAUGCGUCUGAUUAGCUUGUUGGUGAGGUAAUGGCUCACCAAGGCGACGAUCAGUAGGGGUUCUGAGGGGAAGGUCCCCCACAUUGGAACUGAGACACGGUCCAAACUCCUACGGGAGGCAGCAGUGAGGAAUAUUGGUCAAUGGGCGCAAGCCUGAACCAGCCAAGUAGCGUGCAGGAAGACGGCCCUAUGGGUUGUAAACUGCUUUUAUACGAGAAUAAUUUGAUGCACGUGUGCGUUAUUGCAUGUAUCGUAUGAAUAAGGACCGGCUAAUUCCGUGCCAGCAGCCGCGGUAAUACGGAAGGUCCAGGCGUUAUCCGGAUUUAUUGGGUUUAAAGGGAGUGUAGGCGGUUUGUUAAGCGUGUUGUGAAAUUUAGAUGCUCAACAUUUAACUUGCAGCGCGAACUGUCAGACUUGAGUACACGCAACGUAUGCGGAAUUCAUGGUGUAGCGGUGAAAUGCUUAGAUAUCAUGAAGAACUCCGAUUGCGAAGGCAGCAUACGGGAGUGUAACUGACGCUUAAGCUCGAAGGUGCGGGUAUCGAACAGG
This 761-nucleotide ribosomal RNA is filed under the name uncultured Prevotella sp. RNAcentral describes it as "bacterial SSU rRNA". It matches the Rfam family "Bacterial small subunit ribosomal RNA", at positions 28 to 776 of the family's 1533-position model. Lineage: Bacteria; Pseudomonadati; Bacteroidota; Bacteroidia; Bacteroidales; Prevotellaceae. The record is from RNAcentral.